This 1641-nucleotide ribosomal RNA is filed under the name Enterococcus faecalis. RNAcentral describes it as "partial 23S ribosomal RNA". It matches the Rfam family "Bacterial large subunit ribosomal RNA", at positions 332 to 1984 of the family's 2925-position model. Lineage: Bacteria; Bacillati; Bacillota; Bacilli; Lactobacillales; Enterococcaceae. The record is from RNAcentral.
GUUGAAGGAUUUGGAAAAUUCCGCUAAAGAGGGUGAAAGCCCCGUAGACGAAAUGCUAACAACACCUAGGAGGAUCCUGAGUACGGCGGAACACGAGAAAUUCCGUCGGAAUCCGCGGGGACCAUCCCGCAAGGCUAAAUACUCCCUAGUGACCGAUAGUGAACCAGUACCGUGAGGGAAAGGUGAAAAGCACCCCGGAAGGGGAGUGAAAUAGAUCCUGAAACCGUGUGCCUACAACAAGUCAAAGCUCGUUAAUGAGUGAUGGCGUGCCUUUUGUAGAAUGAACCGGCGAGUUACGAUUGCAUGCGAGGUUAAGUCGAAGAGACGGAGCCGCAGCGAAAGCGAGUCUGAAUAGGGCGAAUGAGUAUGUAGUCGUAGACCCGAAACCAUGUGAUCUACCCAUGUCCAGGUUGAAGGUGCGGUAAAACGCACUGGAGGACCGAACCCACGUACGUUGAAAAGUGCGGGGAUGAGGUGUGGGUAGCGGAGAAAUUCCAAACGAACUUGGAGAUAGCUGGUUCUCUCCGAAAUAGCUUUAGGGCUAGCCUCGGAAUUGAGAAUGAUGGAGGUAGAGCACUGUUUGGACUAGGGGCCCAUCUCGGGUUACCGAAUUCAGAUAAACUCCGAAUGCCAUUCAUUUAUAUCCGGGAGUCAGACUGCGAGUGAUAAGAUCCGUAGUCGAAAGGGAAACAGCCCAGACCACCAGCUAAGGUCCCAAAAUAUAUGUUAAGUGGAAAAGGAUGUGGGGUUGCACAGACAACUAGGAUGUUGGCUUAGAAGCAGCCACCAUUUAAAGAGUGCGUAAUAGCUCACUAGUCGAGUGACCCUGCGCCGAAAAUGUACCGGGGCUAAACAUAUUACCGAAGCUGUGGACUACACCAUUAGGUGUAGUGGUAGGAGAGCGUUCUAAGGGCGUUGAAGGUCGAUCGUGAGGACGGCUGGAGCGCUUAGAAGUGAGAAUGCCGGUAUGAGUAGCGAAAGACAGGUGAGAAUCCUGUCCACCGUAUGACUAAGGUUUCCUGGGGAAGGCUCGUCCGCCCAGGGUUAGUCGGGACCUAAGCCGAGGCCGAUAGGCGUAGGCGAUGGACAACAGGUUGAUAUUCCUGUACCAGUUGUUUUUGUUUGAGCAAUGGAGGGACGCAGUAGGCUAAGGAAUGCAUGCGAUUGGAAGUGCAUGUCCAAGCAAUGAGUCUUGAGUAGAGUUAAAUGCUUUACUCUUUAAGGACAAGUUGUGACGGGGAGCGAAAUAAUAGUAGCGAAGUUCCUGAUGUCACACUGCCAAGAAAAGCUUCUAGUGAGAAAACAACUGCCCGUACCGUAAACCGACACAGGUAGUCGAGGAGAGUAUCCUAAGGUGAGCGAGCGAACUCUCGUUAAGGAACUCGGCAAAAUGACCCCGUAACUUCGGGAGAAGGGGUGCUGACUUCGGUCAGCCGCAGUGAAUAGGCCCAAGCGACUGUUUAUCAAAAACACAGGUCUCUGCAAAAUCGUAAGAUGAAGUAUAGGGGCUGACGCCUGCCCGGUGCUGGAAGGUUAAGAGGAUGGGUUAGCUUCGGCGAAGCUCAGAAUUGAAGCCCCAGUAAACGGCGGCCGUAACUAUAACGGUCCUAAGGUAGCGAAAUUCCUUGUCGGGUAAGUUCC